CUUGGCCUUCCAAAGUGCGAGCCACCACACCUGGCCCUCUUGUGGUCUUAAAGGAAAGGGGAGGAGGGCAGGUGAAGAACAGAAAUGCCACAUGUCAUAUUUAGUAGGACACCAGCAAGUGGAGCCAUGCUGCAGCUUCAUUUUCCCCAAAGCUGAAACUUCAAAGGCAAAUGACAACAACCCAAUCCAGGCAAGACUGCUAAAGGCUUAGACCCUUCAAGAAUGAAGGUUUGGGUGAUCCCACCAGUCAGGAGGCCAUGACCCGCUGAGGUGCUUGCUGAGGACAAAGGAAAUGAGGAAUGGGUGGUGGCAGGCUCCCGUCAUCAGUGUGGAUGGCAGCCAUGCCUGCAGCUACUCUACCUUCCCCUGAUCCUCCUUCAGCUUCUCCAACUCCUGGGCCAGAUGGGGCAGCUCCAUGACAAUGGGCACUGGCUUCUUCAGGACAUCCAGACCCUCAAGGUCAGGGGCAGUGAGACUGACACAGGUUCCAGUUCAUGCUGCUCGGUUCCAGCUUGUGCUUGCAGGUUACAGGCUGUCCUGCUCUUCUCUAUUUAUAUCCAUUUCCCUCCUAACCACCUGCCCUGUGAACUUAACUCUCUAGCAUCAGACAUCCCAUCCAGGAGGAGAACAUACACACAGUUGUUUAACUAGCCUCACAAUUACUAAGAUCAAAUUUGCACAACAAAUACACACACACACAGAGAAAUAUGUAUCCUAAUGGGUCUGCCUCUCUGAUUAAACCCUUAAUUGAUACACUCA
Long non-coding RNA from Homo sapiens (human), 759 nucleotides. RefSeq lists it as uncharacterized. NCBI's taxonomy places the organism in Eukaryota, Metazoa, Chordata, Mammalia, Primates, Hominidae. The transcript has 3 exons. The record is from RefSeq and is a predicted model, not a curated record.